This 31277-nucleotide long non-coding RNA is filed under the name Physcomitrium patens. RNAcentral's name for it is "long non-coding RNA (PPAT_LNC003241)". Lineage: Eukaryota; Viridiplantae; Streptophyta; Bryopsida; Funariales; Funariaceae. The record is from RNAcentral.
AAAAUCCUAAUUCUAAUAGAAUAUUAAUAAUACUCUAAUUAGACUUUAAUAAUGCUAAAAAAGCUUAAUCAAAUUCAAAAAAACCUCAAAGAAAUUUCAAACAAACAAUAAGAAUUCUUAAAGAAACAUUAGAAAGAAUACAAAUAUCACUCAAAUACAUCUCAAUUCAAUCUUAAUUUAAUUCUAGUUAAAAUCCUAUUGAACUCCAUUCAAACUUUAGGCCAAAACUAAUUGAAUCUUAAAUCCUAAUAAAAUCUUAAAUCCUAAAUCAAACCCUAAAUAAACCUUAAAUCAAAUCCCAACCAAAUCCUAAACCAAAUCCUAAUCUAAAUCUUAAACCCUAAACCAAAUCCUAAUUCAAAUUCUAAACUCUAAAUCAAAUGCUAAUAAAACCCUAAAUCUUAAAUCAAGCCCUAACCAAAUCCUAAACUAAUCCCUAAUCUAAAUUCUAAAUCCUAAAUCAAAUCUUAAAUCCUAAAAUAAACCCUAAUCAAACCCUAAAUCCUAAAUCAAAUCCUAACCAAAUCCUAAACCCAAAAUAAAAUCCUAACCAAACCCUAAAUCAAACCCUAAUCCAAAUCCUAACCAAAUCCUAAAUCCUAAAUCAAAUCCUAAUCUAAAUCCUAAAUCCUAAAUUAAAUCCUAACCAAACCCUAAAUCCUAAAUCAAACCCUAAUCCAAAUCCUAAAUCAUAAACCAAACCCUAACCAAACUCUAAUAAUUCCUAUAAUAGAUUUAAAACUCAAUAAUUAAUGAAUAAACUAUUGAUCUUAACUCAAAUUUUUCAUAUUUCUAAAAAAACUAAGUUAAAAACAAGCAAAAAAAAAUUGAUAAGGAUCAGAGUUACCAAAUUGACGAUAACCUCAAAAAUAUGCUCGGAUAUUGGCCAGCCUCCUUCUCCAAUCUUGAUGCCGAUCUUCCAGAGCCAAUAUCACUCCUAUGCACCGUUCGAUUGAUUUCAAAAUUUUUAAACACAUAGAAAAACAAAUCUCAUAUCCUUUCACAUAAGUUUCAGUCCAAUCCAAUCAGUAGAUUGCAAGAAAACUCAAAAACCCCCACUGGACUUAAAAUUCUACUUUCUGAGAUCUUGACCCACUUAAACCUUAAUAUUCCUCAAUUCAAUCGUUAGAUCAAGGUCAAAUUCACAACACACAUUAAACACAACUAUAACCAUAAAGCCACAAAAUUUCACUCGUAGAUCUAUACAAAACUCUCGAAAUCAUCCAAAACGUAAAUCCUAUUUUUUUUCAUAGAACCUAAGUCAACCGAAACAAACCUUGACUUUGCAAAGCUCUUACGAAGUCAAAUCAACUUUAAAUCACCCAAAAUCAAUGCUCAUAGAAAGCCUAUUCAGUCUGCUAUCAAAUCUCAUUCUUUGAUCUCCAAAAGAACUCUGGAAUCGUCAUUAAGAUUCAAUUUUGUGCCCUAGGAUCCGAUUUCGACCCUGGUUCAUAACCGGCUCUGUCUGGGUAUCAAUAUCUAGUUUUUCUAAGUAAUUUUUCUAGAAUUUACUCUUAACUUCUUCCUAAAAAUGUCCAUAUCAUUUAUUUUUCCAAUCUACUUUGAUUUGCCUUACUUAUGGUAUUACAAAGUAAGUAGAAGUCACCUUUCUAAAAGGCAGCAUUGGUACCUUUUAAUUUUUCUAUUCCUUUGACUACUAACUAUAUUUCUAAGAUAAUUUUUUCUAAUAAUUUGAACUAAGUUCUCUUAUAUUAUAAUAAUCUCUAUAUUCUUUCACCUAUUAGUCGUGUUACAUCACGACACCGAUCUUUCAUUUCUCUCCGUACGCACAUAUUAUGCUUCAAAGAGUGACAAUAAGUACAAAUUUGACACCUUAACUUUGAACACCUAUAUCUCCUUCAAAAAAACUCGAAAUCACACAAACUCUUCAUCCAAAUUAUACCCAAAAUCCUGAACUAGCUGCCUCUAACUUCCAAAGCUCAAAUAACUUCGAAAGAGAAACCCUAAUUCCUAAUAAGGCCUCAGGCAGCCUCCUUGAAGUCCAUUGAGUAUGGCGUUCUACCAAUAGGAAUGAAGUUUCCCAUUCCUUGGCUUCAUCCGACCAUGCCUUGCUUUCAUUCCUCCCAAUAAGCCUCCUAUUAGUUAAGAUUUUCUUCUUUAGGCUCUAAUCUCUUCUCAAGGCUUUAUACUAAACAUUUAGGUCUUACAAUUGUUUUAAAUGUUAUAAUAAAAAAAGAUAAAACUCAAAAUAAAAUUUCUUAAAUCCACUCUCUUUAAACUAAUCUAUUAACCAUUCUAACAUAUAUCUAGAUUUAUUAACAUAUAAUAUAUUUUAACUAAUUUUUACAUACUGUAAGCUUUUACAGUAUGACACCAUGAGAUAAAAGAGCUUCCUUAAAAUUCCCGCCCCUGAGAGGAUCUUUCAACGGAUAGGAAGUUUCUUAGAACUGUAUAGAGAAUGAAAUUACUUGGAACAAAAUUGAAGCCUUUGUAAUCGAGACCUCAUUAGAUUGUGCAACCAAGUCGGGUCUCAUACUAGGUAAGAAGCGUGUAACAGGACCUCUAUUAGAUGGCCCCGUAAUUGGAUCAAAUUGGACCUUCGCAUCAGGAUCACCCAAAUGUUGAAUUGGUCCUUUCUCCUUUUGUUGACUCCUGAUAAGAACGACUUGAAUACAUUCUAUCUGAUUUACCAAAGAAUCUUAAAGACCUUGAUUUAUCUCCUCAAUUUUUUCUUCACUUUGAUCUUGCUGAUCUCAAUUCUUAGAAUUGAACGGAGCAUUACAUUGCUGAUACAUAUGCCCCAACUGCUUGUAAUUUCCACAAAUUGGCACAUAAUCAUCACAAGCUCUGGAAUUGGAACAUUUACUAGCAUAAUAAUCAAUUUGUUUGCAAUUGAAACAACAAAGUAGUCUUCUUGUACCCUCCAUCAAGUAUAUUGGGUAUCUCUAUCAGUAUAUACCUACUAGGCUUGUUCCAUAUGGGAUUAAAAAGUAAUCCUGGUUGUCUCAGUUGUACGAAGGAAACUUUGUUCGAUGGCAUUGUCAUAUUGUAAUAUGAAUAUAUGGUAAAAGAUGAUAAUAUGGAUCUUAUUAUAGAAGAACCAAGUUAAAAAAUAAAGUAGAAAUAUAUAGAUAAAAGAUAGGGAGGUAGUAAAACUUUUAGUUGUAAUGCUACCUUUUUAGAAAAGUGACUUCUAAUUACUUUGUAGAGCCAUAAAUAAGGUAAAACAAAGUAGAUUGGAAAAAUAAAUAAUGUAAGCAUCUUAAGAAGGAAGUUAAGAGUAAAUUCUAGUAAAAAUUAUUUAGAAAAACUAGAUAUUGAUACUCGAAGAGGGCUGGUUAUGAACUAGGGUUGAAAUCAGAUCCCAAGGCACAAAACCAAGUGUCGACGACAACUCCAUGACUCUUUGGCAAAUUGGAGAGUAUGAUUUGAUAGCAAACUUAAUAAGAUUUUUAUGAGCAUUUUUAGAAUAAGUAGUUAUUUUCAGAAUGUAGAUACCUAGUGUAUAAUAUAAACAAGGAUAGAUAAUUGCUGAAAAGGUGGUUUAGUAGGUAGAAUGGAUGAAUAGUCAGGAAAAGUAGUUAUCAUCUGUAGUACAAGAGUUGGUAUCUCAAGAUAGUAUAAGGAGGAUGGGAGAGGGAAAGAAAAUACCAGAUUGUGAGAGUUGUGAGCCGAGGUAAGCUUGGUGCUAUCUCUUUUCUUUUGUUUGUUAUUUUCUUUGAAUAAGAAGAUUGAGAGUUUCUGAAUAUUGUGAAGUGAAUUAUGGAAUGGAAAUGUGAUUGGUAUUAUUUGAGAAGAAGAAAGAUUGAAUGCUGAAAUCUGAUUAUGGUUCAACAGAGAGAAUGAGUCUGUGUUUGUGUGAAACAUUGUAAUGUGAAUGGCAGUUCUGUGUGAAGAAUUCCAGUGAUUGGAACGAGGGUAAUUGUGUGUUGAAAGCUGUGAGGGCGCAAUAUUAUAGUUGGAGAUUAUGAGGGUGAAUAUAUUGGUAGAAAUAGCAGUUAUUGGUAUGAUUGAAUUGCUGUAAGGAAGAGACCAAUAAGGUGAAGGAGGAGAUUAUAGUUUCCUUGUGUGUUCAGAUAUUAGAAAUAGAGAUGAUACAUUCAGGAGGUAAUUGAUUGUGUGACCCUAACGUGAAUGCUUAAGCAACUAGUCAUUCCCAGUGUUUGAAUCCUUCUACACGGAUUUAUGCUGAGAGGUUUCUUCUGGAAUAAGUAAAACGAGCAAUCACAGCAUUAGAUUUGAAUAAUUUUGAGUCGUUAUGACUUUGUAAGAGAUUUAUAAAGUUAAGAUUAUUUUCGGAUGACUUAAGAUUUGUAAAAUAAAAUAGGAUUGAUGUUUCUAGUGAUUACAAGAGUUUUGUAAUAGAUCUACAAGUUAAAUUUUGUAAGUUAAUGCUCAUAGUUGUGUUUAAUAUGCGUUGUAAAUCUUAGCUUGAUCUAACAGUUGAAUUGAGGAAUAUUGAGGUUUAAGUCGGUCAAGGUCUCAAAAAAUAGAAUUUUAAAUCCAGUGAGAAUUUUUAAGAUUUCUUGCAAUCUACUAGUUGGAUUGGAGUAAAAUUUAUGUGAAAGAAUAUGAAACUUAUUUUUCUAUGUGUAUGAAAAUUUUGAGAUCAAUCAAAUAGUGAAAAUGAAAAAUAUUGGCUCUAAAAGAUUGGCAUUAAGGUUGGAGAAGGAGGCCGACUAAUACCUGAGCACGUUUUUGAGGUUAUCGUCUAUUUGAUAAUUUUGAUCUUUUUCAAAUUUUUUGUACUUUUUUUCAAUUUAGUUUUUAAGAAGUGUGAAAAAUUUGAGUUAAGAACAACGGUUUAUUCAUUAGUUAUUGAGGUUUGAAUUUGUGGUGUAAAUUACCAGGGUUUAAGAUUUGGUUAGAGUUUGGUUUAGGAUUUAGGAUUUGAUUUAGGAUUUGUUUAGGAUUUUGUUAGAAUUUGGUUUAGGAGCUUUUUAGGGUUUAGAGUUUGAUUUAGAAUUUAUUUAGGAUUUGUUUAGGAUUUGAUUAGAAUUUGAUUUAAGGUUUAGUUAGGAUUUGGUUUAGGGUUUAAGAUUUGAUUAGGAUUUGGUUUAGGAUUUAAGAUUUGGUUUAGGAUUUAAGAUUUAGUUAGGGUUUAAUUUAGGAUUUAGGAUUUGAUUUAGAGUUUAGGAUUUGAUUUAUAAUUUAGGAUUUUAUUAGGAUUUAUUUAGAGUUUAAGAUUUAAUUAGUUUUGGCCUAAAAUUUGAAUGAAGUUCAAUAGGAUUUUAACUAGGAUUAAAUUAAGAUUGAAUUGAGAUAUAUUUGAGAUAUAUUUGUCAUCAUUAUAAUAUUUCUUUAAGAUUUCUUAUUGUUUCUUUGAAAUUUCUUUGAGGUUUCUUUGAAUUUAAUUAAAUCUUGCUUAGAAUUAUUAUGGUCUAAUUAGAAUAUAGUUAAUAUUUUAUUAUAGUUAGGAUUUUAUUGUUGCAAUUUCCAUUCUCCUUUCUACAGCCAAGUGUCCGGAGUAUUCUCAAGCAAGACUUCACGUAUUACGACAAAGUUGAUGGAGCAUAUUGUUGAUACAUGUGCUGCUCUUUACAGUAGUUCCAAGGGUUCGAUGUAGACCUUUGAUUAAAAUUGGAACUUUGAAAGUUAUUGAAUGUUCGAUUUUAUCGAUAAGAUCGAUUUCUAUUCCAUCGAAACGUAUUUUUUAUUUGAACUUGAUUGACGUCCCAUUGAGUUGGUGGGAUCAUGGUCUAAUUCUUGAAUUUUUGUUGCCUUUGCCAAUUCCAACAAUUAGUUGUUAAGUUUUUUCUUCCGCAAAAUAUAUAUUGACCCAUUAUUUGUGAGACUGAAGGGCAUUUUGUUAUCAAAUGACUAUGGCCCUUACAAUUACUAUACCAUACAUUGGUCCUAAUAUUGGUAUGCUUUUGCCUCUUCUCUUUAUCCUUGGCCAUAUUGAUGGUCAUUUCUUCCAUUUUCUUUAUCAAGUUCAAUUACAAGAUUUCAUUGGAAUCUUUUGGGGCUGGUAUUAUUAGUAUCUUUGCCGUAGUUAACGCUUGUUGAUAUAAAAAAUAUAGAGCAUUUGCUGUUGUCAGGUUUGGUGGUAUAGCUUGCAAUGGGAUGACAUUAACUGGCCCUUGAAUAUUGGCAUUGGAAUUGGCCCCUGUUUCAAAUAUUUGUCCAUAAUUAUCCAUUGAUCUGUUCCAAGUCAGAUUUUGAUAUCUGCCUUGAACUGGAAUCAUCGUGGCUCCCGUAGUAAAAAACUGAUCAUAAUGGCAUUCCUCCCAAACCUUGGUUCUAUUAAGGGAUGCAGAUACUAUAACGGAUUGAGCUUCCUUUACAAAUAUUUUUAGCUUUGGUGGGUGCAAACCAUUGAUUAAUAUGGAUAAGAUAAAUACCUCUGGCAUUUGGUGAUUUGGCCACUUACUGAGUAUAUUAGCCACCCAGCCAUAGUACAAUUCCACCGCCUUCCCUAGGAUCAUUUUGCUGUUCAUUAACAUCUCUUGAAGGUGGUCAUCAAAACCAAUUGGAUGAAAAUGGAUUAAAAAUACAUUCUUCAAUGCUUUUCAAUUGAAAAAUUGAUCCACUAGUUGGCAAUUGUACCAUUCAAAUGUCAUUUUCUUUAAGAUUGUUGGCAAUCAUCAUAACCAAAUAUCUUCAAUUCUUCUAUUAUUGGCUAAACAUGAUCUUAGAUAUUGAGACAAAUGUUGAUCGGGAUCUACAUCCAUAAAGUCCUUAAAAGUAGGUAAUAGAGCCAUACUUGUUGUGCAAUCGCUCACGUCACCUAUUUAUACUGCUAUACGAAGCGCUGGACCAUCCAUUAUUAUUGAAGAGAACAAUAUACCACUUAAUCUUUUAUUAAAAUAACCAGUACCUUUCUCAAUUAUUUAUUCUGAACUUUUAAGUUUCUUCAAUUUAUUAUUAUUAUCCUCAAAUAAGUUAUUUGAUUAAAUUGGAGGUAAAAAUGAUGGAUUUUGAAAUACAUUGAAUUGGCCUUUAUUGACCAGUAAUUUAUGCUAUUCUAUGGAACCAAUUUUGACAAAAUUGGCAGCUUCGAUUAUUAAAAACGUACCUAAUAGAAUAUCCAAUUCUUCUGUGAUUCUUCCACUCACAAUUAAUGGCCUCAAGAGAAACACUAGACUAUUGACUAAAUUUUCCAUGAGUGCUCUUGGCAAUUUCUCUAAUGGUAUAUACUUCUAAAAUAUUAGAUAUCAAUCAACUUCUGAGUAUACUCAGAUAUGCCGAUAGGCAUGCAACCAUGGCUUAAUCCAACUUUGUCGAUGAUUUCUUUUUAACUUUCAUUCUUGCUUGUUACAGAACAAAUUUCUUACUUUCAAUCUCUCUAUUCUUUCUUUUAACUAUCGUAUUCUCUUUACUGUUAAGUUCUCAUUCUUAAUAAUUAUACUCUUUCAUUAUAUUCUAUUGAGUUUGCUUCUUAUUUCCCAUCUAUUCAUCUGGUAGUUAAUUCCUAAAACUCAAUGUUAUUCUCAAUCCUCGGUAGCGGUACCAAAAUAUAAUUAUCAUUUUACUUAUUCUAUAAAUUUCUUUCAGAAUAAACCUAUAGAGGGAGAUUCGAAUGUAGGGAAAGACUAAGCACAUGAAUUCUAUUUAUUAGGGUUAUACAAUUAACCAUAUUCUAAACCACUGAAAAUACCAAAGAACACCACAAUAUUUUCCACUUUCUAAUAGUGCUCUGCCAUCACUGAAAACACCAAAGAACACCACAAUAUUUUCCACUUUCUAACAGUACCCCGCCAUCACUUAUAACAACAAUGUGCAACCCUGUACUAUCCUAAAAGACAGUACAUAAUCAUUCUAUAAUCCAAACACUAGAAUCUUUCAGUACUAACUGUCCUUUUCAAUACACUUCUUUACAAAAUUCCAGACUCUAUAGACUCCUUCUCAUGAAUCACUUUCAAUUCUCAAUACUCGAUGUAUUAUAAUCCUUCCAUUCAUAUCUAUUCUUUAUAAAUAUUUCUAAUUAUUCUCUUUCAAUUCACCACUAUAUAACUCAACAUUCAAUAAAUUGAAUUCUUCUUUUGAAAAUAUUAAAUCUCUUUUUAUUCCAAAACAUUACUUCACAUUUUUGAGAAACUAUUCGUAAUUCUUCUUCUACAAAGAAAACAAAACCGAAGAAAUAAAAAAAGAAAGACGUAGCACCAAGCUUAUCUCGGCUCAUGACUAUCACAGUCUGGCCUUUAAACUAACUUCUACAACUCAUAUAUACUUUCUCUUGAUUUUCUAGAUUCUAACCAUAAUUUUAUAAUUAACUACUUUUAAUAACUAAAUCAAUCAUCCAUCCUCCUGAAUUGCCUAUUCUAUGGAUUACUAGUAUAUUUUACCAAUAUCUUUCAAAAACAAAUUAAUAUCUAUUCUACACAAGGUAUGGGCUGAUGAAGGGAAGAGGUGAAGGUCUUCAUCCCUAUUGGUAGAAGAUCAUGCCCAAUAGGCUUUUACUAAGCUGCCUACAACCAUAACAAGGAUUUUAGUGACUUUAAAAGAGGUAUUUGAGAAUCAAAAGCAAAAGCUAUAAGGUUUAGAAUAUGGACUACAAUUUGUGUAAAAUAUUUAGAGGAUUUGGAAUUAGAGUGAAGAAAUUAUAGCCAUUUGAAGUUAAGGUGUCUUUUAAGACACAUUAUUACUCUUUUAAAAAAAUAAGAAGUUAUACAAUUGCUUUUAGAAAUUGACAAGAGUAAUUGUAAGGACAAUUUUAAGACCUAUGUUUUUUAUAAAAUAAUUAUUAUAUUUGAAAUUUAUAUGAAGGAAUUAUAGAGCAUUGAAGAUAGUAUAUGUAAUUUGAAUGCAAUAAGUGAAUUAUUUUAUUGAUAGCAAUGGUUGGAGCCAUAUUUUGAAUUUUUGGAUGAAUUUUUGAUUCAAAAUUUUUAAAGUUGUGAAUUAUUAGGUUAAAAAGCCAUAUAUCUAAAUUUUAUGGUAUUUAACUACUUGAUUUAUGAGAUAUAAAGAAAAUUACAUAUAAGUGUAUAUAAGCAAGGAUUUGAAGCUACUAUUAGGAUUUUGGCAAUAUUUAAAAUCCAUAAUGAAUUUAUAAUUGAAUUUUUUUUUAGUAUUAUUUAAAGCAUAUUAAUAAUUUGUGUAAAUUUUUAAUUUUUUUGAAAAUUUUGAUUCUAAUAUAUGAGCUAUUGAAAUUUGGAAAAAAUUCACGUCAAGGAUAUAUUAGAAUUUAGAAUACUUUUUAUCAUUUUUUGGAUGUUCUUUGGUACUUAGGACUUAUAUACUGAUGUAAUUACCUCUAUAGAGAUAAUUUUAUAUAUGAACUUGGUACUUUUUUAUCUUAAGACUUCAUUGAGCAAUUAGUAAUAGCCAAAAGUCUAGUAUUUUUUUGACGCAAUUUUCUCUAUUGUAACAACAUAAUCAAGCUUCAUCUUUUGAAACAUAUAAGCAUCUAUUAAGAUAUAAUAGAUUAUUCUUAAAUUCAAACUUAGAAGUAUCAUAAGACUUUGAAGAAUUUUUCUUAAUAUCACAAAUAAGAGGAAUAAAAGACAUAUUUAAUUGAACUUACUUAAUCAAAGUUGAAAGAAUAGUUAAUAUUAAUUUCAUUGCUUAAAAAUAAAGAUACUCUAAGUUUAAGAGAAUUAUCUCUUAUUGACCAAAAGAAACAUCUCCUUCUUUUUUUGCAAGAUAUAAUCAUCUGAAGAAUACAUUUGAUAAACCUAAUUAUUUUUUUGAUUGAUAGGUGAUCUUGAAUUUGAAUCUUGGCAAGAACUUAUUCCAAUGGAUUCAAUAACAAUUAAAAAAAUAUGCUGACAUAAAAUACUUAAGAUUUUUUGAUUUGUAUUUACAAUGACUUAAUUAGGAGCACCUUCAAGAUAAUAGCACCAUCCUCAAAACAAAUCCUUCAUUGUAAAAAAUUCUUUGUUAUGGAUCUUGUAGUUGAUCUUGACUGUUGAAAAUUUUUUGGAAUGAAAAGCUAUUAGGUGAGAUUUAUCAUUUGUUUCCAUUUAUGAUAAUACAACAUCCAAAGAAAAUUUUAUGCAUUUAUUUUCAUAAAAAUUAGCUUAAAAAAAUUUAUAAAAUAUAAAAUUGGUACAAAAAUAAAGACUAUCUUCAAAGCUUCAAAUGUUAGUUUUGCUUCUUGAUUUCAUUGAAGUUAGUCUUCAGAAGUCAAAUAUGUGAAUAGAAACACAAUUUGAAAGAAGUUCUUGAUGAAGAUCUAAUAGUAGUUGGUAAAUUUUAAAAAGCAUUGAAUAUCUUUUAUUGUUUUUAGGAUCUUCCAAUCUAUAAUAGUUUGAACUUUCUUAUAAUCUAUCAUAAAUCCAUCAUUUAAAAUAAUGUAUUCUAAAAGUCAACUUGAAUAGUAUAAAAUACAUACUUUUUUAUCUUGGUAUAUAAUCCAAUAUCUCUUAGUUUUUGUAAUAUGCAUCAAAUAUAAAGUUUAUAUUCUUUUAUAUUCUUAGAAUAGAUUAAACUAUCAUCUUGAUAAUAGACAAUAAAAUCAUCCAAAAACUCUCAAAAGACAUUAUUUAUUAGAUAUUGAAAAGCUAUUGGUCUAUAUAUAAGUCCAAAAGGCAUGAAAUUAUAUUCAAAAUAUGUGAAUUUGGUUCAAAAAAUACUCUUCCAUUCAUCUCCUUCUUUCAUUUAUACUAGAUUGUAUAUGCCUUGUGAAUCUAUUUUUGUAUAGAACUUAGCUUAAUUCAAUUGAUUAAAAAAUCUAGAUAUAAAAGGUAGGAAGUACUUAUUUUUUAUAGUGAUCUUAUUGACUCCUUAAUAAUCAAUAUACAUCUGCAAAGAUCUAUUUUUUUCUUUAUAAAUAAAAUUAGAGCUCUUCCUAGAGAUUUGAAAUAGAGUAUGAAGUGUUUGGCCAGAUUUUCUUCAAUAUACACUUUAAAUUCAUCUAAUUUAUUUUAUAUUAAACUAUAGAUUAAUCCAAAUGGUAAUUGAACUUCUUCUUAAAGGUCAAUUGAGUAGUCAUAAGAACAAUGUUUCAAAAAAGUAUCUUCAUUUUUUUCUCAAAUAAAACUUAAAAAAUUUGAUAUUGGCUAAAAAUGCUAUUUGAAGUCUUUUUACUAUUAAAAAUAAGUGUAGCAUAAAUGAUCCAAGGUGAUUCUUAUUUUAUAGCAUACAAAAAAGCUUUUACAUCUACAAAUAUAAGUUUGGUUACAUUAGAUUUAUGACUUUCUACUUGAUGAAUUACACUUUAAGUUAUAGUUUCAAAAAAGUCAAGACUACAAGAAAUUCAAUCCAUUCAAGGAUUAUAUUUUUUUAACCAUGAUAAAACUAAAAUGUCUAGAUUAAAAGGAGAUCUAAUAAUAUUAAAUACCACAAAGCUACUAUAAUUAUUAGUGACUAAUUUUAAAAGAAAUAUGUUAUGAAUAAUAUCUCCAAAAGAUAACCAUCUAUGACUUCUAUAUGAAUAGGUUUCAUUUUUUUUACUCUAAAUAUGUUAUGUCUUCAAAUAAUUUUUUUAUCUAAAAAAUAAGUUGAGGCUCCUGAACCUAACAAGAUAGAGGCUUUGUGAUAUUUAGAUCCUAAAAUAACAUCUAUUAUAAAACAAGAAGAGAAUUCUGAAAAAGAAAUAGGUCCUUUAUUAGAUGUUAUAUAAGAUUACAACUACAUGGUUUCUAUUGUAGUUAGACAAACUUGUUUUUUGAUAUAUUGACUAUUUUAACAAUCAUACUUCUCAUUUUAUGAUUGAGUUUUCUUUUUGGAUAAUAUUAAGCAGUGUGCUUUGGUUUUCUAUAAUAUAUAUACAAUCCUUCUUAACGAUAAGUCUUUUCUUACUCAAUAAGAGAUUUAAAAUGUAUUGCAUUAAUUUACAUAUCCUCUACUUCCGAAGGUAUGUAUUGAGAAGACAUUGGUGUUGCCUUUGAAUUAUAGUAAUAUUAAGGCCUAUUCAUGUAAUUAUUAAAUUAAAAUUUAAAAAAUUGAUUGUUAUACUUUAUAGUAAAAUCUAUUACUUAAUUCAAUGUUUAAAGUUCAUGUAAACUGAGCAUUAAUUAUUUUAACUCAUAUUAUAAUAUAUAAAAAAAUUAGCUAAUAAAUGCAAUAUCAUUCCAUUUAAUAUUAAUUAUAAAUUAUCUAAAUUAUAAAAUAUAUAAUAUAAUAGAUUUAUUUUUUAUCAUAAAAUAUAAAUCUUAUUUAUUAUAAUAUAAAUUAUAUCAUAUUUUCUAUUUAUAAUUUAAAAUUCUAAUAGAAAAUCUUUUAAAUUAUCUAAUAUUAGAUCAUAUUAUUCAAGAAAAGAUUAAAAUUAUCAUAAAAUAAAUAAGUGAGACUUUCUCAAAGAAGUAUAAUAAAAUUAUCAUAAAAUAAAUAAGUGAGACUUUUUCAAAGAAGUAUAAUAAAAUAAAAAUAUAGAAGUAUGUACAUUAAAAAGAAAUUAGAAUGGCUAUUUCCAAAAGAUAAUAAAACUAUAAACUUCUUGAAAUUAAACUAAAAGCAAGAAAGAAAUUGAUAAGUGGGAAGAAGGCAUCACUCUUCUUUUUAUAUAUACUAUUUACAUGGAAGCUAUGUAGCAACAUUUUAUAGGACCUCUAAAAUGUGAUGAAUUUGUAUGAUAUGUAUCUUAAUUAUGUACCUUAUAAAAUAAGUUUUUUAUAUGGGCGCUACAUAAUUAGCUUAUUUUAUAAGCUAUUAUCAUGCAUGGCAUGAGAUUAACUUAUUGAUUAAGUUUCUAAUCUACCAAUCAAUAAUAAAUACAUAUAAAAUCAAAGCAACAUCUAUGAAGCUUCUAGAAAGUAUUUCUAAAAGAUAUUAUGAAAUUAAUCUAUUUUUAUAUAUUCAUAUUACUUAUAUAAUAAUUAUGAUAAAUAUAUAUAAAAAAUAAGACUAGUCAUGCACAUUGUUGUUGAUUGUGGCACCACCAUAAUAUUCAAUCCUCCAAUAUCAAAAUGAGAGCACAAAAAAAAAAUAAAAAAAUAAAAAUGAUGACAUCCAAAGAUAAAUUGACACUAAACAAAAAAAAUAAAGAUUCUAGCCUCAGUAUGUUAAGAAUUCAAACUCCAACUAGUACAUAAAAAGUUGGUAAUUAGAAUCAACACAUACCAUGUCAAUAGCCAACAUUUGCACGAUAAGGAUUACCACUAAGGAGUAGCAAAAUUGUACUUAACUAGAAUCUAGCAGCACUAUUAUACAUCAUAUUUGAGAAACAAACAAUACAAAAUAAAUACCAUACUUUUGACUCAAGCUUCCUUACAAAGUAAUAAUAUAUAUAUAUAUAUAUAUAUAUAUAUGUGCAAAGAAAAUAGAACUAAAAAAGAAUUGUUGAUGUUCCAUCACAACUUAUGAUGCUUAAAGUCACUAGUUUAAUGAAUUAGCAUAGGAAUUUUGAGAUAAAUAGAAAAAAAUAGAAUUCCAAUACAAGACUAGAUUUCUUGUAGAAUUUUUCUAUAAAAAGAACUUUAAAAUAAAUAUUUUCUUUAAUAUACCUAAUAUAGUUUUGGGAAUUUUUAGUAAUAAUUUUAUUAUUAUUAAAAUUUUAAUUAGACUAGGUGCUAAAAUGGAAUCCUAGAUUCAAAACAAUCCAAAAAAAUAAAAAUAAAAACAAAUGAACCUACCUUAGUAGUUCUAGACAAAUAAGAUGGGGAGGAAUACAAUAGAAUAGAAAAUUAAAAGGUUGACAGUAGGGAGAGAAAGAAAAGCAAGAAGAAGGAGCUAGAAAAGAAAAAGGAAAAGAAUGAGAAAGUAGAAAAGAAAGAAAAGAAGAGAAGGAAGAAAGAAAAAAUAAAAUAAAAUAAAAUAAUGAGAGAUAAAGAAAACGAGAAGGUGAGGAGGACGAGAGGCUGUCCACAAACGGCGGCAGCCUCUUUGUCGAUAGGGGUCCGGCUGCCCGGAUCCCUGCCUCUCUUGUUUUUUGGUUUUUUGAAUUUUGGUGAAUGCCCCAGACUCCGUCCCUACGUUUUUUUUUGGUUGUGUUGUGUACGCGUGUGUGUAGUUAAGGUGUCCCCUCCAUUCCAUUGAGUGGUACCAAUGGAAGUGUGCUCAUUAUUGGAUAUUCAUAAUGAUCAUGUAGUUAGUUUUUUUCCUCACUCGGUGAGCGGUCUGUGUAUAGCGAGAGUUCAAGGUGGCGCUGCUGGCUUCCGAGCUCCAGAUUCAAGGGGUGGUGCUACGUAGAAUUUAAGGUUGUUGUAUCUUUUACUUCUCCUGCGACGCAAAGGGAGGAGCUGCAGAUUAAGCGAUGUCGUCGCUGCAGCGAAUCGGUCCGACGUCAUUGUCGACACUAGAUCUACAGUUGUAUUUGGAAAGCCAUUUGGGUUCUUUUUGUUUUUUUUAUUCUAUUCCCUGGCAUAGGUUCCUAGUUUGAAGUGGCGGUGCUACGUCGAGGGCCUUGGUCAUAUUGGGGUAGAUUUGCGUAGAGCUUCGAAUUCGGAAGAGUAGCAACUGUCGCGGCAGAUUCGUUUGGUUUGCACAUUGCGAGACCAGAUCCAGGGUUUCCAUCAGCAGCUUGUCGUCGAGAGCCUCCAUUGAGCUCAUGAGGCUUUUACCACGCGCUUUCACUCUAUAUGAUUUCGUGAAUAAGAUUCAGAUCUUCAAGGUAGGCAGAGUGGUUACAAUACAGUGAGGAGAAUCCAGUCAAUUAAAAAUCCAGAGGUUGCUGAGCGAGUGGGCAGGCUGGCUGUUGCACUCAUGUCAACUAACAAAGUUGGAUCACGUUCAGGAAGCUAAGCUUGGACAGAGGGUUGAAGGGAGAACUUACUGUGAAUUCUCCAAACGAUGCAUUGAUAGACAAGCUGAUCACUACUACGUUGAAUGACCAGCAAGGUGGAUUGCCCUUACCCCAAUUACGAGGGUGACUGUACAAGAAGAAUUAGACCGUUGUUCUUUUUAAAUAUAUUGUAUUUCACACUUCCAGUCCCUUCCAUUCUAGUCUUGUUGCUACAGACUCAGAGAUUAUCAACAUGAUGUGGUCGAUUCCAUGCUGAACUAGAUCAUUUAGAUCAUAGGUCUAAGAGCUUGUGAGAUUAGUUAGUAAGACAAUUAAAACGAGUGCGAGAACUGGUAGGAGCUAGAUAGAGGACGGAGAAUCCUUUAGAAGAUCUAGGUGGAGAUUCAGGCUAUGCGAUUGGUGUUUACGUGACUAUUUCUCUCAAUGCAAGCUGUAAUUGAAGAGUACCAUCAUCAGAGGAAACAUCUCCAACGUGUCCAGCAGCCAAGCUCCUCCAGGGCCACUUAAGCUUAAGCGGUUUGAACGUUGGAAGGACUUGUCGACUAAGUGGAGGCUUGCAACUAUAAUGGAGUGAUUAGAUAGAGGUGACGAAGUGAAAUUUAUUCCGCAGCACGUCGACCAGGGAGCCGAUCCUUCCAACUAGUGAGGUUCUAAAUGCAUGAAGCUAGUUAGGUCAAUUGAAGUAGAUGUGCUACCUCUACCUCUGACUUUCGCAAUGCGAGCCUCCAGAAAACACAAAGACGUGGAAAAGAAAAGCAAGCCGACGAAAUCUGCCAAUGCUUGCCACAACAACUGCCCCACAAUAUUUGAAGUCAAAUCCCGCACCAAAAGAAAUGAAGAGAGAUGUCAAAGAGAUCCAAGACCACUCCUCAAUGACGAGCUAUCUAACAAACUUAGAGCGGAAAAGUUUUCUUUUUUUUCUAUUUACUUUUCUUUCUUUCUUGUUAUCUUUGUCUAUAUGCUUUUGAUGGUUCAAUCAAUCUGUUGCAAUUGAUGAUUAUGUCCUACACUAUUCAUGACCAUCAAAUUCUAGCUCUCUUCACUUGUUGCUAGAACAUGUUUUUUUUCUUUUAUCACUUUACAAGUCAGCACCACGGAAGCCAGUUCCUUUUUAGGUCUGCUGUAAUGCAGGGGGUGAUGAGGAGCUUUAUUCCACAUGACAAGUUUUAUUUCACAAGAGCUAGUUUGCUACUUCGCCUCCAAUGUUAAUGGUUAAUUGGUUGCAGCUGUUAGCAGAUUCCUGUAAGAUUGUGAUUUUAGACUUAGUUGUAUAGCAGACAAGGUUGAACAUGCAUAUGGAGACUGAACUAAUCAUACAUGAACAAUUCUUGACAGCUUGGUGUAAGAAGGGGAAUACCUGGACAUUUUUCUAUAUCCAAUGCAUUCUAUAUUCAAACCCGAAGCAUUGAAACCAAGUCUAGUCAUCUCUGUCCUCAAUUUGCAUGGUGACUACCAGGAGAGACGACCAUACUGCUAGGGACAAGGUAAACCGUACACUUCACAAUGGUAGCACCAACUUGAAAUCCAGGAACAAUCAAGAGGCCCACAACAAGUUCCUGGUCGGAGUCAUUGACGUCAAUGGGAAAAGCAUUCUCCAUAUAAGUCGGGUCAAACCUCGUUCCUCGGGCGUAGCGAAAGAUCCGCGCUGGGGGUUGGAACUGGAAAGCCAGACGGUGCAACAGAAAGGUCACCUUAGCUAGGUUGACAAACGGUUCCAAGACGUUGUCGCAAUACUUGGGGUUCGUUGCAAGAUGGCAGAAAAGGAGGUUUUUGGAAUAAUCACCAUCGGAUUCCUGAAAAGGCCCGAACUCUUCGCACGACACAUUCAAGCUGGUUAUGAUGUUGUGUAACUUUCUGUAGCAAAACAGAUGAAAUGGAUUGGUGCUCGCAACAAUGUUCUUCAAAUCUCUCAUUAUCCCCUUCAAACCAAACUUCUGAAGAGAAUAGUACUCCUCAAGAUACCGUUGGUGCCGUAUUUCCAGAUCUUGAUUCUUCAUGAAGAAUUCGGUGUCCUUGUGAUUAGCGAGGAGAUAGCGCUCAGAGCCUUGUGUACAUUCAAAGCUGUCAUGAUAACUAUCGUUCUCAAACCCUGCAAACAUGUGGCUGCAAAUGUAGGCUUCCACCUCGAACUUGCGAAACCGCUUAUCUGCCCACUCCGGAGGAUUCUGGAAUACCUCAUGAUUUUCCAAAGGCUUCUUGAAAAAGUCGAGGAAAGCCUUAGAGCAUUCAAACGCCUUCUCUGCCACAACGAACACGGAUUUCUUCAAAUUGGGAGGGACGGCAGGUGAGUCCUUGUGAGCCCCGGUAGUGCCAGGAGCCUUGGAAUUCGACUGCUCCAAACAUAAAAGCUGCUUGUCAAGCCUAUCAGCAAUGGCUUCGUAGUGAUGUGUAUUGGCACGCCAAUAUUGAACGUUUUGGGCAAGGGUUCUUGCCUCCUCUCGAAUCUUUUGUAAAUCCGUUUCGGCCUUUUUCAACACAUUGUCCUUAGCUUGCAACAUAGCAUCCCUCUGCUCAAUCACAUACAAUAAUCUAUGCUGUUCACGCCCAAGUUUGUACUUCAUGUCACUACAUACUGUCUUCAGCUCCUCGUUCUCCUUUUUCAAACUGUUAAAUUUAGUGGUGAUCUGAAGCAUCUCCCCAUCCACCGGCUUCUCAGAUUCAACAGUAUUGCCAAAGAAUCCGAAAGUGUACCUAAACAGGGCAGACGUCAGCCAUAAAUAUUGUGGGUGCAGGGUGAUGAGGUGCUGGUGAGUGGGAGAUGAAGUUUGGCUGACCGGGUCGAUAGCAGGUGUAGCAAAUCGUUUUUCGUAAUGAGAGCCCCCUCUGCGCGCUGCUUCUGCAUAUUCUCCUUGGUGCUUUUCAUUGGAAUGCGCCAAUGCACCACCGCCAUUGUGGCUCUGCUCUGGAACCGAUGCCUGAUAAUCCGCACCAUCGCAAGGUGUACCUCCGAGGUCAAGAUUCUGUUGCUGAUCGGAGGCAGGUGACGCACCGUGAACAUCAGUGGAGUUGACUAGACACAGGGGUGCACCGUUCGGCGUAGAAUUCAUCGUCGACAUCCUUGAUUCAGAAGUGACAAUAGAAUUGGCAGAUUCACGAUUUUGACACCCUGGCCCCUUGAAAUUGGAACCUCACGUUGAAUGAGCUGCAGAAAGUCAAGACGGCCUGUCCAGUUCCAGAUAGCUGGCGGCAUAGCAUACAACGGUCAACGAUAAAACAACCAAAACUGCCGUCGUCGAUUUCAAAGCUCAGAAACUACGCUUUUGAAGGGAUAUCACACAGUAGAGUUAGUCGUAAAGGAAGAAGUUUCGCCUGGAAACUCUGCAAAACAAAAAAAAAACAUGGUGUAAACUUCGAGCAGAAACUCUGUCCAGUGUUGGAUUCUACGGUCCAGAAGAUGAGCAUUGUGAUUUGUGGUGCCUCCUUUCUACCCAUGCAAAUGGAAGUGGAAUUCAGUUCAGUUUACUUAUUUUCCUAAAAUAAAAUUGAUUUUUUUCAAAUGCAGAGAUUGGAACGAGAGUUAACUGGGAAUCGGUCAGAGCACUAUUCGCUACCUAACCAAUCUAUACGUGGAACGAGACUUAGAACUUGCCGACUGAGCGCAGUAGACUCGACAAAUUAGGAUCCCAGAAGAUGUUUUCAGUCAAAGCGCACCUGGGGUCCCCACUGGUUCACUGGCACAUUAUACCACACUCUUCAAGGGCCGGCUCCGCGACUGAAGUGCUUUCAUUUAAUGAAUAACCGAAGUUCUCUGAGAUGAGAGAGAAGCAGCCGCUACUGUGCAAGAUCAGGCGCGCCCGUGUCGGCGUAGCAGAUUUGGAAGUUGAUAAUUAAUGCUGUCCUGGGGUGCUUGGAGAACAGUUCGGAAUAUGGCGUCAUUCGGAGGAUUGACUUACUUGCGCUAGAUCAGCACAUGGCUAAUUCAACGCAUUGUCUCAUUGUCAUCUAAUUACUUCCCGUCGAGGAAUGUAGGCUAGUGCGCCGACCUUUCCAAGUUCCAGUUGCAAGUGAGCUUCGGAUUUUAUAGACUCUGAAGUUAGAGCACCCUUGACAUCACGCACCUUGUGGUUUAGGGUAUCGAUUGGCACUUAUCUGGUUGUAGAUGUGUUGUAAUAAACAUAAUUAGUGAGAUUUGAUGUGCACAGGGUGCCUUACUAUACAAUGAGUUUGAAUGAGUGGUUUAGGGUACCGAUCGGCACUUAUCUGGUUGUAGACCUGUUGUAAUAAACAUAAUUAGUGAGAUUUGAUGUGCACGGGGUGCCUUACUAUACAAUGAGUUUGAAUGAGUGGUUUAGAGUACCGAUCGGCACUUAUCUGGUUGUAGACCUGUUGUAAUAAACAUAAUUAGUGAGAUUUGAUGUGCACGGGGUGCCUUACUAUACAAUGAGUUUGAAUGAGUGGUUUAGAGUACCGAUCGGCACUUAUCUGGUUGUAGACCUGUUGUAAUAAACAUAAUUAGUGAGAUUUGAUGUGCACAGGGUGCCUUAUUAUACAGUGAGUUUGAAUGAAAUCUGGACUAUGACAUUUAAAGUUCUGUAGCUAGUCUGUUCAUCCAAAUGAUGAGAUGAUACUCAUUCGUUAACCUCGGAUGACCUAAUAUUAACAUGACGGCCAGACUGCCAUCACUAGCUCAAUCGAUCUUGGUUGUCACUACACUGUGAGCAUCAUGAGCAACAUAAGUUUUCCUACGCGUCCUGAUGCAAGAGUUGUUGUAGGGCUGGAUUUUGGAACAACGUUCUCAGGGUUUGGAUAUGCACACAAGUCCGAACCAGAGGGUGUGUGUGUGCUCUACGAAUGGCCAAGGUUCGCUGAGGCAAGCGGGAAGUCGUACUGCAAAACUCAGACAGCUCUGUACUAUAAACCUUCGCGGAAUGGUUUGCAGUUAGAAUCGUGGGGAUGGCAAGCCCAAGUGGAUUACGUCCGAGACUUGGACCUAGUGCAACGAAAGAAUGCUGACAAAAGUACGCUGGGCGAGUUCAUCACCAGGUUCAAGCUCCACCUCGCAGACAAGAGCUCCGGCCCCUUAUCCACCACGCCCUUACCACGAGGCCUCACCACCAAGCAGGUCAUCACCGACUUUUUAAGGGAGAUUGGAAAGUUUAUCAUGGACCAUCUCCGAAACAAGUAUGGCACCCACCUGAGCAUGGAGGAGCUGCAGUGGUGCGUCACGGUGCCCUCCAUCUGGGACGACAAUGCCAAGCAGCAGAUGAAGAGCUUCAUGGAAGGGGCGGGGUUGGUGGGCGGCAACAGGGGCAGCCCUUACCCGGUGAUUAUAGUCCUGGAGCCGGAAGCUGCUGCCGUCUACUGCUUGAAGAAGCUCAGAAACUUCAAACUCAAUCAAGGGGAUAAAUUUUUGGUUGCAGACAUCGGAGGUGGAACAUCCGACAUCGUGGUGCAAGAGAAGGCAAACUCCUCGGGCAGUUUGAAGGUGAAGGAAGUGACAGCGAGCUCCGGUGGCCUGUGUGGCGGCUCCUUCGUAGACCAAGCGUUCAUGAAAUUUAUGUCUGGGAAGAUCGGCUGUCUGGACAAAUUUCUAGAAGGCAAUCCUAGAGUGAAGCUCCAGCUACAGACGUGGUGGGAGCAUGCUAAAAGCUCAUUCGAGGGCGGUGACACGAAUGAAGUACUUUACUGCCAACUCUCUGGAAAGCUGGCCACGUCCUGGGAGGAGCACGAUCCAUCGUAUGUGGGUGAUUACUACACGGUGGAGAUCACCCACAGCGACAUGGUGCAAAUCUUCUCCGGCGUGGUGAACGAAAACAUCAAUCUCAUCAAGGCGCAGCUCCAGCAAACGUCUAACAUCAGGAUGAUAAUGGUCGUGGGCGGGUUCGCUACCUCCAAGUACUUGAUGGCGAAGAUCAAGAAGGCAUUUGAGCCUCGCAUCACAGUUGUGAGCCCCAACGAACCUGGACGCGCGAUCUGCGACGGAGCCGUCAACAUCGGCUUCUUCCCCAAGAACAUUCUAUGCCGAGUUGCCAGGCGCACGUAUGGCAUCAGUAUGUGCGCAGAAUUCGACAGUGAUAUUCAUCCCGAGAGCUUGGCGAAGUACAUUGAUGGCGUCAAGUAUUGUAAUCAUCUGUUUUCUACAUUUGUGAAGGCUGGGAGCACGGUUGAGAUGGAUUUCUCGCAAGAGAAGUACUUCUGGCCGACGUCAAAGAACCAGACGGCUAUUUCUAUCGAGGUGGUCACUACCCAGUCACCUUCGCCGACGUACACUACAGACCCAGGGGUCACUGUGGAAGAGGAAUUCAGUGUGGACAUUUCAUCGAGCUUGUACAUGGCGAAGGAUGAUCGGAAGAUUCUGGUGUCCAUGUUCUUUGGGGGUUCCUGCAUCGAGGUGAAGGCACAGCCUUCUCAUUUUGUUGGGACUCCGGAGGCCGCCGAAAUGAUGCCGGUGAAGUUCGACUGGGCCUGAUCGACGCUCCUUCAUGCACGAGUUUUAGCCUUGACAAGUGUAUAUUUCAGGUUAUAGCUGAGUUUUUGCAAAUAUUCUAAAAUCUUUUUCUAACCAAUCCAUCUCCUAUAUGCCCAUAGUACGACCUCAUUGCCCUGGAAAUCCUCUUGAUGCGUUCAAAAUUUAGGUUAAAAAUUACAUUUUUUGUAUAAUAUUUGUUAAUCUAACAAAAACAUUCUCUAGCUUUUUUUUGUUCUUAUUUUUCUUAUUUUUCCUAACAUAGAAUUCAUAGUCCAUGGUUUUGAAAUCAACAUUAUGGAUAUUUAAAAAGUACUACAAAAGAGGUACUUAAUUCCCAAAAUUCACCAUAUUUCAAACAAAUUCCAACAUCAAGUUCAAUACUAAAUUAACUGAUUCCAACAAUUCCCAAGAAUUGUUACACUUCAUGAUCAAACACAGAAAUGAGUAGGUGGAGAAUAAUAACUUGGUUUAGAUCAUACAACAUAUAAUGUGGUUUACUACAAGGAUCAAGCAACUUAAAAAUGAAGGAAAUAAUUCAAUUAAACAAGAAAAUGAAGAAUUGGCAAGCAUCUGAUAUAGUCCAGCAAUAUUGGCAAGGAAGGCAAAAUGGAUCCGCACACCACCUCUAAUGCAAACUACACCACCUCUAAUCAAGAUGACAGGAUAAUAACUUCUAAUAUAGUUGACAUUCUCUAGUUGUUGCCAAUAGAGAAUGGAUAAUAUCUUCUAAUGUAGCAAGAUGAGGGCACCACUAUCCACUCUUACAAGGCCAAGUUACCUCUCCCAUAAGUUACCUCUCCCAUUGUGUAGAAAUCACUAUUAUUGAUGUUAAUCAUGCAUAUAGACUUAUCAAAUAAUAAGCAACACAUUCAUUUUACAAGUAUUAUCUUAAAACAUAAUGAACACCAAGCGACUACUUUCUAUGUAAAUAUAAGUAAUAUACAAAAAUAACAUAGUCAAAGAAAAAAAAAUCAAACUAUAUUUUAUAUUACCAUGUAAGAAGUCAAAUGAAUGUAUGCAUCCAACACCUUCACUUAUUUAUGUCAACUUUUGAUAACCAAAUGUUACUUAUCAUCUCUCAUUUAGUACUCAAUAGAGAUUGCAAAUAAUGAAAUAUUAUCAUAAAAGUAUCCUUGUGAUUAUAUCUAUAAUUUGGUUGUGAGUUCAAAUAUAAUAAAAAUUUACUUGCUAUUUCUUCCAAACCGACAAAUAAAUUUCUUUAGAAUUUAUUUAGAGUUUUUUAGGAAUUUUUAAAAAAAGUUUCAAAACUUUGAUAAAAUUUAGUGUCUUUAUUCAGGCUAUCUUUGUAAGUUAUAAUUUUAUUAAAAUAGAUUUGAAGACUAUUGAAGGUUUCUUAUCUAAUUGGAUAUUUUUGAAUAUCAUAGUAAAGUCAAAAAUCCAAAAAUAUUAGUUUUACUAGUAGAAAAUAGGAGGACCAAUAGCUAGUCUACUCCUUGUAGAAAAGGAGAUGCACGAGUCUCAUAUAGAUUGUAGCACCUUAAAUAUAGUUAGGAGGAUAAGACUAAGACCUUGUGGCCUCUCUUUAAAAUCCAAAUAUACUAUAUGCAAGCCAUUAUGAGGUUCAAAUCUUUGAUCUAUAAGCAAGUUAUGCUUUAGGUAAAAUAUUUUUAUUUAACUUUUUAUUUAUAUACUUAUUAUCUUUAAACCUUCAUAACUUACUUUAAUCCUAUAUAAACAUAUUGAUGAAGAUUUAAACCUUUAUAACUUUUUAUUUAUAUACUUAUUAUCUUUAAACCUUCUUUAAAAAAAUUAAAUUAUUUAAAAAAUAUAUAUUUUUUAUUUUGUAAUUUUACUUUCUAUUAGAUAAAAACUUAGUAGAUAGAUUGUAAUCAAAUUUUGGGAUAUGUAAUUGCUUAAUUUUAUUUAUUUCACUUAUUUUGUCUUUAUUCAGGCUAUCUUUUAUUGAAGAAACACAAUAAGUAAGACACAAGUAAGUAGAAAUCAGCAAGGUUAGACACAAGAGAAGUGUAGAAUGAGAUACCUCUCACUUCCAACACCUUUUACUUAUAGGUAGAGAUUACAUCCAUUUUGGCUAGCAUUCAUCUUACUUUCAUCCAACUUAACCCUAAAUUCUUCUUAACCUAGCCGCCACUUUAAACCCUAACUGCCACCUACAAUCUUAGCCACCACCUAUAAUUCUAACCGCCAUUUAUAAUCCUAGCCGCCACCUUGAUAACUUUCCUUCAUCUUUUUGCUGCCCUUUGACCAUUAGCAACUUAUCCAAGAUAAUAUCUUUUACCUUCUAUCUUAUCUUUCAUUUACUUUAACACUCCCACUUUGCUAUUGGUCAAAGGCUAAUAAAUCUAAUUCCUUUGUCAAUUUAUAAUGUCUAUCCUUCACCAAUGCUUUUGUGAAUAAAUCAACAAGCAUGUCUUCCAUUGCACAAUACUUUAUGUCAAUUACUCCCAUCUCAAUCUUCUCCCGUAUGAAGUCAUGUUGAAUGUCAAUGUGCUUUGUCUUUGAAUGAUGCUUUGGAUUCUUGGCAAAAGCAAAGCAUCCUUGAUUGUCACACUUCAUUGGAGUUGCUUCCAAUUGCACAAGUCCAAUAUCUUCUAAAACUUGUCUUAGCCAUAUUGCCUCCAUUGCACCAUGACUUGCUACCAUGUAUUCCGCCUCCAUUGCACCAUGACUUGCUACCAUGUAUUCCGCCUCCAUUGUAGACCUUGCAAUUAUUGGUUGUCUCUUGUAAUUCCAUGAAAUUGCUCCCACUCCAACACAAAAGACAUAUCCCAUUGUUGAUCUUCUAUCAUUUGUAUCUCCAAUCCAAUCUGCAUCACAAUAUCCAUGUAAUGUAAUACUAUUACCUCUAAGGCACAAUUUGAAGUUCAAAGUGCCUUUAAGGUACCUCAAAAUCUUCUUAAUGGUUGCCCAAUGAAUUGGUCCAUCCUUUGACAUGUGUUGACUCACAACACUCACUACAUAUGUAAGAUCCACCUUUGUAUCAACUAUUGCAUACAUAAGUGAGUCUACUGAUACCUUGUAUGGAACAUCUUUCAUUUCUUCUUCAACUUCAACAAAUUCCUCAUCUGUGAGCUUCAUCAACUUCAAAUUUACCUCUAAAGGUAUUCCAAUGGACUUCCACUCCUCCAUGUUGAACCGUUUCAAUACUUCUUCAAUGUACUUCUUUUGGCUCAAUGUUAUGAUCUUUUUAGCUCGAUCUCUCACAAAUUCCACUUCUAAGAAAUAGUGGAGCUCUUCCAAAUCACUCAUUUCAAAUUCUUUUGCUAGCUUUGCCUUCAACCAAUCCAUCAUUUUUAAAGUAUUGGUCAAGAUGAUUAAAUCAUCAACAUAAAGAAUAACAAUCAGCAAGAAGGCUUUUGAUUACAUCACAUACAUGGAAUGAUCAGCCUCACUCUUCACAAAUCCUUCAUUCACAAAGAAAGAAUCGAUACGUUGGUACCAUGCCCUUGAUGAUUACUUAAGCCCAUACAAAGAUUUCAUCAACUUACACACAAGGUGUUAUUUGCUUUCUUCAACAAAUCCUUGAGGUUGAUCCAUGUAGAUGACUUCUUCCAAUUCUCCAUUCAAGAAAGCCGUCUUCACAUCCAUUUGGUGCAUCUCCAAGUCCAUUGCUGCCUCAAUUACCACAAUGGUUCUUAUGGUGGUGACUUUGGCCAUGGAAGCAAAUAUCUCAUUGAAAUCAACACCAGUAACUUGUGAGUAGCCUUUGGCAACCAAUCUUACCUUAUACUUUACAACAUUGCCCAUUACAUCCCUCUUUGUUUAAAACACCCACUUACAACCAAUUGAAGCUCGAUUUGGUAGAAGUAAACUCAAUUUCCAUGUUUCAUUAUCCAUGAGUGAUUUGUAUUCUUCUUCUAUAACAUUCUCCUACUUCAACCCAUCCCUAGACUUCAUUGCAUCACAUAAACUCAACGAAUCAGCAAGAAGUACAACAUUAGCAUGUUCUUUACUUACUUGAGGAAAAAUGUAGUCCUUCCACCAUUCACCAUGUUGUUUUCUCUCUCAAAGGAUAUUUCCUUUCAUUUGAAGAAGACUCAACUUGUUGCACUCCAUGGUCACCUCCAACCUUCUUUUCUUUUGAAGAUAGUCUUUUUUCACUCAAAGGUUCAUAAUCCUCAUCACCAUCAUCAUCUACACCUUCAUGCUCUUCAUUAUUGGUGUAAGCAAUUGUAGACACCUUCUUGUCCAUCUUCUUUGCCUCUUCAUCUUCAUUUCCAUCUUUACAACCAUCAUUAUCUUUGUCUUCUUCCUUCUUUGCUGAAUUUGAAGAUGUGUCCACAAACAUACCAUUUCUCUUACUUGGACAUAUUUCUAAGUACUCACAAGCACUCUUGUGCUCCAAAAACUCAACAUCACGACUUUUGAUGAUCUUUUUAGUAUCCAAAUACAUGAGUCUAUAAGCCUUUGUACCUUCACAAUAUCCAACAAAUACACAUUUUGUACCUUUUUCAUCAAAUUUUGAUCCCAUACAAUCUGAUAUCUUUGCAUAUGCUAUGCAUCCAAAGGUCUUUAUGUGAGAAACACAAGGUUUUCUUCCACUCCAAGCUUCUUCCGGUGUCAUUGAUGUAAGUGCACUUGUAGGACAUCUAUUUUUUAUGUAUAUUGCAUUCACCACUACUUUCGUCCAAAACUCAUGUCCAAGAUGUUGUACAUGAAGCAUACUCCUUGCCAUCUCCACAAUGGUCUGAUUUGCUCUUUCAGCAACUCUAUUUUAUUGUGAAAUGUAAGGAGUGGAGGUUUGUCUUGCAAUACCAUGCAAUUUUAAUAAAUCAUUGAAUUGCUUUGACAUAUACUCACCUCCAUUGUCUGUAUGUAAUACCUUGAUUUUGCAUUCACAUUGCUUCUCCACAAGUGCCUUAAAUUCCUUAAACCUUGUGAAACACUCACUCUUUUCUUUGAGGAUGAAAAUCCAUACUUUCCUUAAAAAGUCAUCAAUGAAUGAGAAAAAAUACCUUGCACUUCUUAUUGAUGGCAUCCUCAUAGGUCCACAAACAUCAGAAUAAACAAUCUCCAAUAACUUGGUUGUACGUGUUGCAACUCCACUUGGAAAUGAGGCCCUUUGUUGUUUGCCUUGAAUACAACCUUCACAAGUAAGUGUCAUAGCAUUGUAGCUUAUAUGACCAAGAUCUAAGCCACUUACUAUGGAUUGGAGCUCUUUCAUGCUCUUGGCAUUCAAAUGACCAAGGCAUUGAUGCCAAAUGCCAAACUUGUCUUGAUCUUGAAGAAAUUCAGUAAAUGCCGCCACUUCAAUUCCAUUCACCUUCUUACACUUGAUGAAGUAGAUGUUGCCAUCUCUAAAGCCCUUUGCAAUAUAAUCUCCUUCCAAUGUCUUUACAAAACACCCAUUCUUAUCAAAUUACACUUUACAACCAUGUGAAACAAGUUUACUCUCUGAGAGGAGGUUUUUCUUCAUCUUUGGUACAUGUAAGACGUCCUUCAAUCUGAUCCUCUUGAUUUGGCCUUUCACAACAAUCUCUAUAACAAUGGAGCCCAUUCCAAUAGCUUGUACUAUGCCAUUGUCUCCCAUGAGGAUAUUUGUUCUUGAAAUCUCUUCAUAAGUAUCAAAUGAACACUUGUAUGGAGUCAUGUGCUUGGUGGCACCAGAAUCAAUGAUCCACUUGGACAUGGCAGCCAUGGAAGUGCCUUUACUUGCCGUGAAUGCAUAAUCAUCACCUCCAUAUUCAUCACGAGCAUUAUUUGUACUUUCUUUAUCUCCUUUCUUAGCCUUGUAGUAAUUUCGAGCAAAGUGACCUCGUUUUUCACAAAUGAAGCAAGUUCUCACAUUGCCAUGUUAGUUAGAAUGACUCCCCUUACCUUGUCUUGAAAAGAGAUCCGAAUCCUCUCUUUGGGGCUCUUUUUCUUUGUUCUUGGUGACUUCAUGGGCAAGUCUUGCGGUGACAUAAUCCAUUGUGAGUUCUUUUAUCUUGAUGGACUCCAAUGCCACAAUGAAGUAGUUAUAGGACUCGAAAAGGUUCAUAAGCAAGGUCAUGAUAAUAUCACUCUCUUCUAAAGGCUUGUCAAUAAUUGCAAGUUGAUUAGCAAGGGCUUUUACCUUGUUGACAUGAGCCAUGAGGUCUUCACCUUCUUUCAUCUUGCAAGUGAAGAAUUUCUUCCUUGUAAAGAUGAUAUUAGACGAGUUUUUACUCUCAUAUAUGUUGCAAAGAGUCUUCUAUGCUUCUGCAAGAGAUGAUGUGAGAAACAUUUGCUUCAUCCAAAUUAGUGGCAAUCAUGCGAAAAGCCUUCUUUUCACGUCUUGUGAUGUCCUUCCUCUCUUUAGCAUCAGCAUGUGUGCUUGGAGGCUCUUCACUUUUAUCUACAAUGUUACAAAGGUCCACAGACCCCAACAAAAGCUCCAUUUUGACCUUCCAAUGGUAAAAAUUGUCACCUCUAAACUUUUCAAUCAGUCUCAAACCUUCACCCUCACUUGAAGCCAUGUCUUAGAAGAGGUCUAUCAAAAAAUAUCAAGAAAAGGAGUCUCUAUGUGCUUAAAAUCACCAAAAUAAUUUUGUACUGGCAAAAUCUCAGAAUGCCCUCUUGUAAACACAUGAAUGUUUCUUCACUCCAAACACUCCAAAAUCAACUUUCGAAGCUUCUAACAAGUAUGUUGACUUCAAUCAACCUAACCAUCAAGUUCUUUCACUCAUAUAACUCACUUUCUCACUACAACACCAAAGACACUAUCAAGGUCUUUGUAUAAGGUCUUAAUCACUCAAUCCUAAGAAUUAAGAACCUUCAAACUGAUGUUAGAGAACUAUAAGGCCCAAAUUAGAACCUCCACAAGUCAAAACACAAGAUUAGAUCAUAUAAUCCCUAACAUCAACAAAUACCAUAAGAUCUAUUCCACACAAGAACAAAAACUAGCAAAUGACUUCAAUAUUCUUGAAUAGCACAACAAAGUGUGUGUGGGCCCAUAACCUUUUGAAGAAACACAAUAAGCAAGACACAAGUAAGUAGAAAUCAGCAAGGUAAGACACAAGAGAAGUAUGGAAUGAGAUACCUCUCACUUCCAACAUCCUUUACUUAUAGAUAGAGGUUAGAUCCAUUUUGGCUAACAUUCAUCUUACUUUCAUCCAACUAAACCCUAAAUUCCUCUUAACCUAGUCGCCACUUUAAACCCUAAUUGCCACCUACAACCCUAGCCACCACCUAUAACUCUAACCGCCACUUAUAAUCCUAGCCGCCACCUUAGUAACUUUCCUUCAUCCUUUUGCUGCCUUUUCACCAUUAACAACUUAUCUAAGAUAAUAUCUUUUACUUUCUACCUUAUCUUCCAUUUACUUUAACAUCUUUAUGAGUUAUAAAAUUGACUUAUUUUUAUAUAAUUAUAUAGAAGUAGAUAUUUAAUUUUUUUUCUUUUCUUCUUUGCUUUCAUGUAUUAGAUUAAAUUUUAUAGAUCGUGGAGUAGGCAUUGGCCAUAUAUUAAAUUUUAUUAUUUUAUUUUAUUUUAUUUUAUUUUUGUAUGUUCUUGUUGGAAAAGAUUUGUGAUGGAGUAGUACAUAGCAAGGGGCAACAUUGGUACUAUGGUUUCUUUGGAGUACUAUUGCUAUUUUUUCUUUGAUUGUCAUAUUGAUAGGUAUUAAAGUACUUUUUUUAUAUUGAUUGAGUUGUCAUCAACAAAAGUCGGCAUUCUCAAUUAUAGUUUCACAUGGUUCUAGUGGCAAAUGUUACUAUUUUUAUGCUCACAUAUUGCAACAAACUGCUAUAGAGUAGUUAUGAUUAAGUUGUUUGUUUUUUCUUUCUAUGCAUAGUUAAAAAGCACUGUGUAUUGUUAUGCAGUUCUAAUCUUUUUGUAAUUAUUCUUUUAUUUAGUGAGAUACAUAGUGUAUUGUAUCACUUAGCAUUGAUAAGAUUGUCAAUCAAUUUUUUGUAAUUGGUUUCUUUUGUUUAGAGUUGAAUGCUCUAUAGAAUUUGAAAUUCUAGAGAAGUUUUUUUUUAUUUUUCUCUCAAGUUGAUAUUGUGAUAUACUGAUUAGAGAGUGAUAAUUUUUUCUUUUUUUUUACUAUUGCAGAGCGUGCUAAUAAUUAUAGUUACAAUUUUGUAGCUACAAAGUUAUAUCACAACUAAUUUGAUAUAUUAAUGCUUGAUCAGCUGAGUAGAGUUAAUUUGUUACUUUGUGCAAAAUAGAUUUACAAAAAAAUUCUAGUAGUUACUAUUGUUGAUGAUCAAGACAAGUGGGUGUGACAAGAUAGUGAAUUAUUUACAUUAUAGUGGAGCAACUGAUUUUGAUUGCCAAUUGUGAGACAUCAAAUUGACUCACUAGUUGUUUUAAUACAAAAGUAUGUAUGUAAAGUACCAAAAUUAUAAUUUUUAGGUGAAGAUGUGCUUAGAGGAUGUCAAAUGAAGAAGAAUAAUAUUAGUGGAGAAGAAACAGAGUCUUAGUAAGUCUUGGAGGUAAUUAUUUUAGUUGAUUUAGUAUUUUUUAUUUUUGAGUAUUGAAGAAUAUUUACUAAAGUCAAUAUUCAUAUUGGCUUUAUAUAUAUAUAUAUAUAUAAGAAAAAAUAUAAAUAUUUAUCAAAGACAAGAACAUAAUAGUUAGCUUGUUCUAUAAGCUACAAAUAUAUAUAGCAUAUAAUUAGGUUAUUGACUAAGUUUUAAACCUAUCUAUAAAUUACAAAUAUAUAUAAAGUCAAUACAAUAGCUACAAAGCUUCUAAAAAGCUUUUCUAGAAGAUAUUAUAAAAUUAAUCUAUUUUUACUUAUUUCUAUCUAUUUAUAUUAUCUAAGUAAUAAAUAUAGUAGAUAUAUAUCCAUGAUAUUAUUCCUCCUUCUAGAAACAAGUUUCAUGAAGAGCGGUAAUUACAUCUUGAAGAAGUCUAAGAUAUGGUGAAUUGUAUUUGCCAUAUACUCUGAUCUUUGUUCUCUUUGAAGGAAGUUGAUAGGUCCUCUCAGCCAUCAAUAAUGUCCAAUUUGAGGUUGAGAAGAUUACCUUGUGAUUUGAUCAUUGUUGAAAUCUUCGUAACUUUCUUCAAUUGUACCUUUAUUAUUGUAUGUAAUUCAAAUAAUUAAUUUGUCAAAUCUUUUGUCAUAGGAUUAUUAACCUUUAAAAAGUCAAAAGUAUUAAGUCAUAGAUGAUAUCUAUAAUUAGUAAAAAAUAUAUUUAUUAUAUAAAAAAAUAUAUUAUAGUACUAUAAGCAAAUUUUGCUAAUAGUAAAAAAAUUAUUCAAUCAUCUUAUUGAUAGUUGAUGGUGUAUCUCAAAUACUACUUCAAAACUUGAUUUACACACUCUAUUUUUCCAUUAGUUUGAAGAUGGAAAGUAUGAAGAUAGUUUAAUAUCCACUUUUAAAGUCUUAAAAAUUGUUCUUCAAAAUCUUGAUAUAAACUUAAUUUGUCUAUCUAAUAUAAUAUCCUUAGAUAAUCCAUGAUAGCAAUAGAUGUUGUCUAAAACAAGCUUGAUUAUUUUCUUUACCUGUGAUAGUUUUUGUAUAUGAUACAAAAUAUGUUAUCUUAGUGAAACAAUCUACUAUCACAAAUAGAAUCAUAAGAACUUGAGAUUAGAAGAUCCGUAAUAAAAUCUAUAGAAAUAGAAGACUAUAAUUAUUUUGGAGUGGAUAAUGGUUGAAGAAGUCUAUAGGAUUGAUGAUAAGAAGUUUUUGACUUUAAACAAACAUCAAAUGAAUGAACAUGGCCUUUCGCUGCCUUCCACAUUUGUGGCUACUAAAAAUCUCUAAAUAUAAAUUAUAAAAUCUUGUUAUAUCCAAAAUAUCCGAUUGUUGGAAAGUCAUAACAUGCUUGAAGAACAUGUUAUCGUAAUAUGUAAAGUCUUGUUUGAGAAUGCUCCGGGCAUCUAGCUGUGGAAUGUAGAAUAGAAAUUGCAACAAAAAAAUCCUAAUUUUAAUAGAAUACUAACAAUGCUAAACAAGCUUUAAUCAAAUUCAAAGAAACCUCAAAGGAAUUCUAAAGAAAAAAUAAGAAAUCUUAAAGAAAUAUUAUAAUGAUUACAAACAUAUCUCAAAUACAUCUCAAUUCAAUCUUAAUUUAAUCCUAGUUGAAAUCUUACUUCAUUCAAACUUUAGGCCAAAAACUAACUAAAUCUUAAAUCCUAAAUAAACUCAAAUGAAAUCCUAAAUCCUAAAUCAAAUCCUGAUCAAAUCCUAAUUAAAUCUUAAAUCCUAACCAAACUCUAAAUCCUAAACUAAACUCUAAUCCUAAAUCAAAUCCUAACCAAAUCCUAAACCUAAAUCAAAUCCUAAUCCUAAAUCAAAUCCUAAUCAAAUCCUAAAUUCUAAUCCUAAAUCAAAUCUUAACUAAAUCCUAAACCAAACCCUAAUUAAAUCCUAAUCCUAAAUCAAAUCCUAACCAAAUCUUAACUCUAAAUCAAAUCCUAACCAAACCCUAAAUCUUAAACCAAACCCUCAA